This is a small nucleolar RNA of Protopterus annectens (West African lungfish), 68 nucleotides long. RefSeq annotates it as small nucleolar RNA SNORD75. The transcript has a single exon. The record is from RefSeq and is a predicted model, not a curated record. NCBI's taxonomy places the organism in Eukaryota, Metazoa, Chordata, Ceratodontiformes, Protopteridae.
AGCCUGUGAUGCUUUUAUAUAAGAGUAGUGGACAGAAUGGAUUUCUGAAAACUUCCAUUACUGAGGCU